This 468-nucleotide ribosomal RNA is filed under the name uncultured bacterium. Its description in RNAcentral is "partial 16S ribosomal RNA". It matches the Rfam family "Bacterial small subunit ribosomal RNA", at positions 28 to 507 of the family's 1533-position model. The record is from RNAcentral.
GACGAACGCUGGCGGCGUGCUUAACACAUGCAAGUCGAACGGAAAGGCCCUGCUUUUGUGGGGUGCUCGAGUGGCGAACGGGUGAGUAACACGUGAGUAACCUGCCCUUGACUUUGGGAUAACUUCAUGAAACUGGGGCUAAUACCGGAUAGGAGCUCCUGCUGCAUGGUGGGGGUUGGAAAGUUUCGGCGGUUGGGGAUGGACUCGCGGCUUAUCAGCUUGUUGGUGGGGUAGUGGCUUACCAAGGCUUUGACGGGUAGCCGGCCUGAGAGGGUGACCGGCUACAUUGGGACUGAGAUACGGCCCAGACUCCUACGGGAGGCAGCAGUGGGGAAUAUUGCACAAUGGGCGGAAGCCUGAUGCAGCAACGCCGCGUGCGGGAUGACGGCCUUCGGGUUGUAAACCGCUUUCGCCUGUGACGAAGCGUGAGUGACGGUAAUGGGUAAAGAAGCACCGGCUAACUACGUG